RNAcentral lists this ribosomal RNA (55 nucleotides) under Lachnospiraceae bacterium. Its description in RNAcentral is "partial 23S ribosomal RNA". Lineage: Bacteria; Bacillati; Bacillota; Clostridia; Lachnospirales; Lachnospiraceae. The record is from RNAcentral.
GAAGUGCAGCGAUGCAUGGAGCUGACGUGUACUAAUAGGCCGAGGGCUUACCCAU